RNAcentral lists this ribosomal RNA (383 nucleotides) under uncultured eukaryote. RNAcentral's name for it is "partial 18S ribosomal RNA". It matches the Rfam family "Eukaryotic small subunit ribosomal RNA", at positions 592 to 976 of the family's 1831-position model. The record is from RNAcentral.
CAAUAGCGUAUAUUAAAGUUGUUGCAGUUAAAAAGCUCGUAGUUGGAUUUCUGGUAGGAGUGACCGUCCCAGACUUGAUUGUCUGUGUAUUGUGUUGUCUCCAGCCAUCCUUGUGGAGAACUUUUCUUGCAUUAAUUUGUAGGGAUUGGGACCCGCAUCGUUUACUGUGAAAAAAUUAGAGUGUUUAAAGCAGGCAAUCGCUUGAAUACAUUAGCAUGGAAUAAUAAGAUAGGACUUUGGUACUAUUUUGUUGGUUUGCAUACCAAAUUAAUGAUCAACAGGAACAGUUUGAGGAUAUUCGUAUGAACAUGUCAGAGGUGAAAUUCUUGGAUUUUGAUCAGACGAACUACUGCGAAAGCAUUUAUCAAGGAUGUUUUCAUUAA